RNAcentral lists this ribosomal RNA (324 nucleotides) under uncultured eukaryote. RNAcentral's name for it is "partial 18S ribosomal RNA". It matches the Rfam family "Eukaryotic small subunit ribosomal RNA", at positions 1470 to 1796 of the family's 1831-position model. The record is from RNAcentral.
CCCUUAGAUGUUCUGGGCCGCACACGCGCUACACUGAAGGAGGCAGCGUGUACUCCUGGAUCGAAAGAUUUGGGUAACCCGCGAAUCUCCUUCGUGCUAGGGAUUGAGGUUUGCAAUUAUCCUUCAUGAACGAGGAAUUCCCAGUAAGUGCAAGUCAUAAGCUUGCGCUGACUACGUCCCUGCCCUUUGUACACACCGCCCGUCGCACCUACCGAUUGGAUGGUCCGGUGAAGCCUCGGGAUUGUGGUUCUUGCCGCUUUAUUGUGGCGUGACCGCGAGAACUUGUCUAAACCUUAUCAUCUAGAGGAAGGUGAAGUCGUAACA